GACGAACGCUGGCGGCGUGCUUAACACAUGCAAGUCGAACGGAAAUUCCCUGCUUUUGUGGGGUGCUCGAGUGGCGAACGGGUGAGUAACACGUGAGUAACCUGCCCUUGACUUUGGGAUAACUUCAGGAAACUGGGGCUAAUACCGGAUAGGAGCUCCUGCUGCAUGGUGGGGGUUGGAAAGUUUCGGCGGUUGGGGCUGUACUCGCGGCUUAUCAGCUUGUUGGUGGGGUAGUGGCUUACCAAGGCUUUGACGGGUAGCCUGCCUGAGAGGGUGACCGGCCACAGUGGGACUGAGAUACGGCCAAGACUCCUACGGGAGGAAGCAGUGGGGAAUAUUGCAAAAUGGGCGGAAGCCUGAUGCAGCAACGCCGCGUGCGGGAUGACGGCCUUCGGGUUGUAAACCGCUUUCGCCUGUGACGAAGCGUGAGUGACGGUAAUGGGUAAAGAAGCAACGGCUAACUACGUG
This 468-nucleotide ribosomal RNA is filed under the name uncultured bacterium. Its description in RNAcentral is "partial 16S ribosomal RNA". It matches the Rfam family "Bacterial small subunit ribosomal RNA", at positions 28 to 507 of the family's 1533-position model. The record is from RNAcentral.